GAACAUCCAGUUUGAAUCAUCCGUGCAUCCCUCUCAAGAAAACACUCAGUCCCCCUAUCUCCCUCUCUCCCCACCCCCAAUUCUACUGUACACCCCUUCAUCUCCAACCCGCUCUCUCAUGAAAACCCCCGGUCCCUCCAUCUCCUUCUCUCUCUCCUCUCAACCCACGUCUGCUCUCUCUCCUCCUUUUCCUUUUAUAGGUUUCGAAUCAUCUAAUAUAGAAUAAUUUCUAAUUAUUGAUUUUUAUAAUUUUGAUUUGAUUUAAUGUAGGGAAGAAGUAGGUGAUGAUGAAUCGAAAAGCUACGAAUCUAGAGUUCGCUUUAAAUGAGAUUUUACAUUUCUAGAAAUUAAAAAACAUUUUUUUUCCUUUCUCAAAAAAAAAUUUUUUUUUUUCUCUCUUAAUUUCAUUUU
This 411-nucleotide long non-coding RNA is filed under the name Ananas comosus (pineapple). Its description in RNAcentral is "long non-coding RNA (ACOM_LNC032577)". The record is from RNAcentral. Lineage: Eukaryota; Viridiplantae; Streptophyta; Magnoliopsida; Poales; Bromeliaceae.